CCUACGGGAGGCUGCAGUGAGGAAUAUUGGUCAAUGGACGCAAGUCUGAACCAGCCAUGCCGCGUGCAGGAAGACGGCUCUAUGAGUUGUAAACUGCUUUUGUACGAGGGUAAACGCAGAUACGCGUAUCUGUCUGCAAGUAUCGUACGAAUAAGGAUCGGCUAACUCCGUGCCAGCAGCCGCGGUAAUACGGAGGAUUCAAGCGUUAUCCGGAUUUAUUGGGUUUAAAGGGUGCGUAGGCGGUCGGAUAAGUUAGAGGUGAAAUCCCGAGGCUCAACUUCGGAAUUGCCUCUGAUACUGUUCGGCUAGAGAGUAGUUGCGGUAGGCGGAAUGUAUGGUGUAGCGGUGAAAUGCUUAGAGAUCAUACAGAACACCGAUUGCGAAGGCAGCUUACCAAGCUACUUCUGACGUUGAGGCACGAAAGCGUGGCGAGCAAACAGGAUUAGAUACCCUAGUAGUC
RNAcentral lists this ribosomal RNA (460 nucleotides) under uncultured bacterium. RNAcentral describes it as "partial 16S ribosomal RNA". It matches the Rfam family "Bacterial small subunit ribosomal RNA", at positions 338 to 795 of the family's 1533-position model. The record is from RNAcentral.